Molecule: non-coding RNA, 45 nt
Filed under: Schistosoma haematobium
Lineage: Eukaryota; Metazoa; Platyhelminthes; Trematoda; Strigeidida; Schistosomatidae
Source: RNAcentral
ACCUUGCUGAAGAGUUCCAAGUAGUACGAAACCCGGGUUCAGGGU